CUUUCAGGAGCACUCCCAAGGAGCCACCUUCAGAGGCUCCAUUUGCCAUCUAGGGCUUUACGUGUGCUUUUGCCACGGGGCAGAGCACAAUGAAAACAACAUCCAGGAAAAUGGGAAUGGACAUGGAAGUCUAUCUGAAUUUAUGCACAAAAAGAUUGAUGCUUUUCUUCAUGCUCCCAGCCUAAAGAACUAAGACUUUGUCCGGAAAACACAACCAAGGAACCCCUUCUAUGUAACAAAAGAAUCCACUCAAUUUUGUAUCAAUACACUACUGCAUGUUUUGGCAACAUGCAAUGAAAAAAACACAAUGACAAGAACAUCCAGAGAAAUAAAUUGGUAUGUUUUGAGGUUAUACACAAACAGAGUGGCAUUCCUAAGAAUUUUCUUUUAUAGACGCAGUGAAAUAUUAUUCUUCAAAAUGGGAACUGAUGAUCCUUUUCAAAAACUGCAAGAUUUUUCUCAUUUCACUGGAUUUCAUAAGCACCACAGGCAUUUCCCUCUAAAUAAAUUAUGAUUUAAAUUGU
Lonchura striata (white-rumped munia) is the source of this 524-nucleotide non-coding RNA. NCBI's taxonomy places the organism in Eukaryota, Metazoa, Chordata, Aves, Passeriformes, Estrildidae. The record is from RefSeq and is a predicted model, not a curated record.